AUUGAACGCUGGCGGCAGGCCUAACACAUGCAAGUCGAGCGGAUGAAGGGAGCUUGCUUCUGGAUUCAGCGGCGGACGGGUGAGUAAUGCCUAGGAAUCUGCCUGGCAGUGGGGGAUAACGUCCGGAAACGGGCGCUAAUACCGCAUACGUCCUGAGGGAGAAAGUGGGGGAUCUUCGGACCUCACGCUAUCAGAUGAGCCUAGGUCGGAUUAGCUAGUUGGUGGGGUAGAGGCCUACCAAGGCGACGAUCCGUAACUGGUCUGAGAGGAUGAUCAGUCACACUGGAACUGAGACACGGUCCAGACUCCUACGGGAGGCAGCAGUGGGGAAUAUUGGACAAUGGGCGAAAGCCUGAUCCAGCCAUGCCGCGUGUGUGAAGAAGGUCUUCGGAUUGUAAAGCACUUUAAGUUGGGAGGAAGGGCAGUAAGUUAAUACCUUGCUGUUUUGACGUUACCAACAGAAUAAGCACCGGCUAACUUCGUG
Molecule: ribosomal RNA, 484 nt
Filed under: uncultured bacterium
Lineage: Bacteria
Description: partial 16S ribosomal RNA
Rfam family: Bacterial small subunit ribosomal RNA
Source: RNAcentral